Molecule: small nuclear RNA, 104 nt
Organism: Suncus etruscus (white-toothed pygmy shrew)
Lineage: Eukaryota; Metazoa; Chordata; Mammalia; Eulipotyphla; Soricidae
Source: RefSeq, a predicted model, not a curated record
GUGCUCGCUUUGGCAGCACAUAUACUAAAAUUGGAACGAUACAAAGGUUAGCAUGGCCCCUGCGCAUGGAUGACAUGCAAAUUCGUGAAGCGUUUCAUAUUUUA